Molecule: ribosomal RNA, 465 nt
Filed under: uncultured bacterium
Lineage: Bacteria
Description: partial 16S ribosomal RNA
Rfam family: Bacterial small subunit ribosomal RNA
Source: RNAcentral
GACGAACGCUGGCGGCACGCUUAACACAUGCAAGUCGAACGAGAGAAGAGAAGCUUGCUUUUCUGAUCUAGUGGCGGACGGGUGAGUAACACGUGAGCAAUCUGCCUUUCAGAGGGGGAUACCGAUUGGAAACGAUCGUUAAUACCGCAUAACAUAAUUGAACCGCAUGAUUUGAUUAUCAAAGAUUUAUCGCUGAAAGAUGAGCUCGCGUCUGAUUAGCUAGUUGGUAAGGUAACGGCUUACCAAGGCGACGAUCAGUAGCCGGACUGAGAGGUUGAUCGGCCACAUUGGGACUGAGACACGGCCCAGACUCCUACGGGAGGCAGCAGUGGGGAAUAUUGCACAAUGGAGGAAACUCUGAUGCAGCGAUGCCGCGUGAGGGAAGAAGGUUUUAGGAUUGGAAACCUCUGUCUUCAGGGACGAAAAAAGACGGUACCUGAGGAGGAAGCGCCGGCUAACUACGUG